UAAAGUCAUCUAACGAGGGUGAGGAUUCUGGCAAUGACUGGAUUCGAGACUCACUAAGCUCCCAGGCUUCCGAGCGCCUGUGGUUGCUCCUCGUGUCACUCGUUGGAUGGCGCGUGGGAUGGUCCUACACGGCAGGGUUAAGACGGUUACCCACGCGCGAGCGCCGCUCUGACCUUCUUCCCCCAUCGCCAACCCUAGCCACGACUCGAUUCGCCCGUGGGGGCGAUCCUCGAACCCGCCCGCCAUGGGCGUGACCUCCUCCUCCGAUCUUUAUAAUCCCACCCCGAUCUAGGUACCCCAGGCUCUCCUCUCUCUCCAUCUGGUCGGCGUUGGGUUUCUUCUGUUGAUUUUGUAUGGGAAUUUGAUGCGGGAAGGGGUUGACUGAGGUGACACCGAUGUGUUUCGGUGUUCACCGUUCAUGGCGAACUUCUCCGGCCUAUGUGAUGAGAAACCUGGUCGACACGACCACAGCAUUCUAGAUCAUCGACAUUCAGCAGUAUAUGAUGGAGUCCAUCCCAAUUAUUUUGCAGCCAUCUGGCCCAAUCCAUGGCAUGCACAACUUCGCCCCAGGGGUUAUUUACUGGGGUUAAUAUGAGGUUUAUGUGAAUUCAACUUAGAUUGAAGUCAUGUUGUCGAGUACUGCAGACCAACAUCAAAAGAGAUACCUUGCUUGCUCAUCUCCAGUACAAUCAUCAACAAUAAUAUUAGAAUUCUGUUUGUUCGAAAUAAAUGCUUACCUGUUCUGUGGCCCAAUACAGAAUGUGCUGCAGAAUUUUUGUGUUACACUGUAGGUUACUUACUGGUGUUAGAUGGUCAUUGUGAACUACUCCAUCUAUGUUCUGUGCACCUCUCCUCUACUCCUCAUGCUGUAUCAAUCACCUAAGGAUAUCUAUAGUUGACCUUGAGUUUAUGAGUUGCAAAUUUGCAAUUACUGAAACUAAUAUAGCCUUGCCGGGGAAAUUCUGAUUGUAGGAGGAAUGAUAUUUCCAGUUUGAUGUUAGUUUUAGCCUUUUAGGAUGUUGGUUUGAACUAAGAAAAAAAUCCCUACCUAGCUUAUUUGUAGGCACUAGGGUAAUUAACUUGGAUCCCAAAGUAACCUUUUUAUUUCAUUGUCACACUUGAUUAACACUUAGUGCUGAUCUGGUCGGUGUUGGUUUUUAUUUAGUGUAUGGCACACUAAAGAAGGAUGCAUGUACUUCAUACCAGCACCAGGAGCUUGAUCAAAAGUUUCAGGGGCAGGGGCAACCACUUGAUCAGAUAAAAAAUCACCAAAGAUGCAAUUAGAAUAAAGCAUACAGAAAUAAGGUUAAUAAGUAAUAACCAAUAAAAGAAAAUAUAUGUAUGGCUAUCCUGAAGUCUAGAAAGGCCUACCGAUCUAAUGAAAGUACACAAAGGAAACGAAUUGCACAAUCUUGAAGAAACUACUAAUUCUUCAUACAUGAAUACUUGGCCAAUUUCACCACUUCCACUUAUUUUGAAUUUUCAGUAACAUGUAUAAUAUAAUUUGGAUUUGAUGCCGAUCUAGGGGCAUUGGGGAGUGAUGUACAUGAUAUAUCCACUCCAGAAGGAUCAGCUGAACUAUCAAGCUGCAAUUCUGGUUCAACCUUUAUAUGAGCAGAAUUAGAUUCAACACUUGGUAUAGUGAGCACAAUACUCCAACCUGUCUGUGUUUUGAAAUCAUCAGCAUGGACCAUUUGUUUCCAAUUCUACUCCCUCCGUUCGAUAUUACUUGUUGCUGAUUUAGUACAACUUUGUACUAAAUCAGUGACAACGAAUAUGGAACAGAGGGAGUAUUAUUAUAUUUUUAAGCACUACGGCUAACUGUAGUGUUUUUUCAUUCACCACUAAAUUAUACAACUGUUGUUUGGGCUAGAGAUAAAUGUACUGAGUUAGCUAGACUAAGUGAAUCUAAUUCCAUUAUUCUGGUAUGUUAGAGUUCCAUGUGAAGAAACGGUAAAGCAAUUUCAUGAAAUUUAGGUUCCAACUUCUCCCUCCUAUGCUGCUUUUGCUAUAAUUAAUGCCCAGGGAAAUUUCAAUAGAUUUUGCUCUGCUUUUGCACUUGGUAUAGUGAGCACAAUACUCCAACCUAUCUAUGUUUUAAACUGAGUUUAAAUAGAUUUUGCUUUGGAUGCCGGUAUCAUUUUCAAGAAAAGAUAAGAUUGUGAUAACAAUCUUGAAUAUAGCAAAAAUGGACCUCAAGGAACAAUUUCACUUGAUGACAAGAUUGAAUACUAAUACUAUGAAUGAUCAAAAUAAUGCUGGAUAAUGUGUCAUGUCUUCUCUGUAAUGGACUAAUGUAUUGACCUGAUCUUGUCUUGAGUAAGUUUCAUGUUUUACAAUGCAAGAGUAAGCCCUUGAAUAUGUUCAGUUUUGUGCAUUUCCUAUUUUAUAGGAGAGCCUACUCAGGAAUAAAUAUGUAUUUUUACAUUUGGUUUCAGAAAAUCUUCCAUGCAUUCUAUAUACUCCCUCGAUUCCUAAAUAUAAGCCAUAUAAUUUUUCGAAAAAAAUUCCAGGAUAUAGGCUUUAGUGUGACACACCACUUGUAUGGAAUUUUUUUUAGGGAUUUGAUUAUAUUUUCUUAUCUUAUGCAACGUCCUCUAUUUUCUCAUGUCAAAUGUAUAGGGGUAAUCCCACCUAAACAUGGUGUAAUUUUCUCUCAAUAUGCGUUCUUUUAUUUCCGUGCCAAAACUAUAUGGCUUAUAUUUAGGAACGGAGGGAGUACUUCAGAAAUGGUAGCAACCUUUUCCGGUGUUUACAUUUCUCGGCCCUACCCUCUUCCAGCUAAAUUGUUCAGUGGCAUAUACCUCUAUUGAAAUGUUAGAAUAACAGUACAUUAGCUAAUCAUAAACGUUCAUGUGAAUGCAUAUUUAUAGUAUGUUCCAUUAUUUGCAUUCUGUCCAUUCCUAGAUUAAAGAAUCUCAUUUUGGUUUCAGACUUUUACCCUUGAGAUGUAUUUUCUUUGCUCCAACUUGUUUUGAUAAUAGCAAAGUACUAUAGAAGGUAUUACAGAUUUUUGUCGGUAAAGUUCACUGAAACAAAGGUACCUUCCAUUUAGUGUAGGAAAUAUUUAGUUAUUGAAGCCAUUCAUCUGCAUAUUAUACCCUAUAUAAAGGCUGGCUGGUUUAAAACGCUCUAAUUGAUUCACGCACUGUUCAUGGCUUAUUUAUCCACCCCUUCCUCCAGCCAUUGUCUGACACGUAACUGUUAUCUUUUUCCUACCCCAUCGUUUGCUGGCCUUCCUCAACUCCUUCCUAUUUACACGUCACUUUUUUUGGCAGAUGGGCAACCGGCUACCGGUUGCUGUCCUUCCUCCACUCCUUCCUAUUAUUGUGGAUCACUUCCUUCUGGUUCCUUCGGUCAAGACGGCGGCAGUCAAAGCGGCGCCCAUCCCCAACCUCUCUCUUCUCUCAUCUUCUGUCUAUUCAUUGCCGCCUGCCUUCUUGGGACGAUGCCCCCUAUCCCUCUCCGUCCGCAAUUCCGCCUAUGGAGGAAGAUCUUGGUGUUCUCCUCCCCUUCCAGAGGUGGUACAGGGCCUUGGCCCCCUCUUCUCCUUCCCUAGGCAGUGCGCUUAUGGGAGGAGCCGCCGCGGCCACUCAUCCCCUGUGGUCAGUCUUCUGUCUCAGGUGGAGGGGAUGAUGAUGUGUGUGUGGUCGCCUGCGGAGUAGCUAGAUUGGUUCCUGGCUUCUCCAUCGCGCCUCGAAUUCGUGCUUGGUGGCGCCGCCAGGGAACUCACUCCCAUGGAGGGCGAUGUGUGGAGGUAUCGGUAUCCCACACACGCCACAGGCAACACCUUUGUGCGCCACUACACGGCCUCCAUACUGUGUUGAUCAUCUUCUCAGUCAGCAACGAUCCAAUAAGCUUCCUGUUUCUCGAGUCUUCCCAUCCCCUGUAAAAAAAUAAGCAGUGCCUUGUGGUGUUGAUCAUCUCAUGGACAAAGAGGAGCUUGCUUCCAGGAUCUGUCAACACACUGAAGCCACCUCCUCACCGGUGACAACGCCAUGCUUUUAAAAGACCAGGUGUAUUUCCCUUGCAUGGUGAUAUACACCGGAGAAGAGGAAACGUGACCCACAAGUAUAAAUCCUUGGGAGCAGCUAAAAGAUGGUUCGGUCUAAACUUCAGAAAGUUUCAUUGAUGCUGAUGCAUGGAAAAGGUUUUCCCAUGGAUCAAUUUAGGGAGCAGCUGAAAGUUCUUAUUAUUCAGGAGUGCUAUCAUUCAAGAGUACAUCCUUCACAUGUUGGUAUGUCAAUAUACCUGUUUCAGAAAUAUCUGAUAUGAAAGACAGCCUCCAAGAUCACCCACAUGAGCUAGAUAGGCAGGGGCGAAAACAAAGACCUGAACCAAUAGAGACAACACUAUAUGCUCUAGCUAAAGAACCAAUAGAAACUAUUUUGUUACAAGCUGGAAAUUGUCGUGACAGAAGUAAACAAUGUUCAAGACUGCGCGCUCAUGUCCUGUAAAGAUUGCUGAAAGAAGACAUCCUAACGGAAAUGUCUACAAAUUCCCCAAGUGGCCAUACAUAUCACAUAGAAGGAAAGCACAGGUACAAACUAUCCGCUAACUGAAAGGAUGUCAAUCCCAACGAGGUGACUAAAGAAAUAAUAGGUCAAUUCAUAUUUUUGGGCGCCAAUGGCACUACACUCAGAGGCCAGAAAGCUGUCCUAGGUGUUGCAACUAUCAGAGGAAGGACCGAUUAUAUGCUACCAGAUGCCAACAAUAUAACCUUUCAUGUUUCAAGGUCCGAAUUGAUUAACAAUGCCAGUCGAGCGACAACAUCCACAACUAACUCCAAAAGUUCAGAAAAUACAGACAAAUUCAUAGUACUCAAUUCCUCUGAAGGUAUAGUUGAUCCACAGGAGAGUAGCAGAAACUCAGACACUGCACCUACCACAGAUGUCAUGCAGCCAACACUUUCAGACCCAGAGAAGGUAAAUAAAAUAAACCAGGUAAUAUCUUCCUUGAUUUAUCUAUUGAAAGCUUAACUUAUAUAUUACUUCCAGAUAGAACUUAGCCAUCAUCAUACAUUUUUUUUGUUCAAGGAUACAAACUCUACAACAGGAGGAAAGGGAAGGAAGAAUGAAACCGCACCUGCAACAUCAACCAAGAAAAGGAUUAUUGGACUUGAUUUCUCAAUCGAGCGGCUCGCAGAGAAGGGUCGGCGCCUUGCUACGCUAAGUGUUGAAAAUACCUCUGUGGCGUGUCUUGCAUAUCUCAUUCCGUAUAAGGCCAUGGACGGGAUGUUAGGUGCAGGAUGAAAGUACAUGCCAUUGCAACCAAUCAGAAUUGGUGGUUUCGAGAGUGCAAUCGGUGCAGUUGUGUAGCAGUUUAAGAUGGAGAUGCAUUUCGCUGCUUAGGCAAAGCAAGUACGUGCCGGAGCGCCAACCCCGGAUACAAGCUUCGCGUGAAGGCCGAGGAUGGUGAAGCAGUCAUCAACAUGGUCUUCUUUGGAGAUGUCGCCACCGAUCUGUGUGUCUUCUCAGUUUUGCCUUUGCUAUUUCAAGAUACAAGCUUCGCGUCAAGGCUGAGGAUGGUGAAGCAGUCAUCAACAUGGUUUUCUUUGGAGAUGUCGCCACCGAUCUGAUUGGCAAGCCCCCUGAUGAGCUCAUCAAUGAGUUUCUGGCGAGCAACGAGGUGUUGCCUUCUGAUAUCUCAAGGCUGGUUGGAAGGAGAGUUAUGUUGUAAACUUGGUGGUAUCUCGCCUUUCUAUUUGUCGGGACACCAACAUUAGCGGUGCUCCAUAGUAAGGAGUUUGGAUUCGACCGCCUCAUUCAUAGGAUACCUGCUAAAGAUCAAAACCGUCCACACAUGUUUACAUGAGCAGUAGCCAUGGAAUGUACUCAUGUGUAAUAAAAUCAAUGUUUAUGCGUUGCUUAACCUCAAUAAGUUUGAAA
RNA transcript from Lolium perenne, 5888 nucleotides. RefSeq lists it as uncharacterized. Lineage: Eukaryota; Viridiplantae; Streptophyta; Magnoliopsida; Poales; Poaceae. The record is from RefSeq and is a predicted model, not a curated record.